AGAGUUUGAUCAUGGCUCAGAUUGAACGCUGGCGGUAUGCUUAACACAUGCAAGUCGAACGGAAACGAUACUAGCUUGCUAGUAGGCGUCGAGUGGCGGACGGGUGAGUAACGCGUAGGAAUCUACCUAAUAGUGGGGGAUAGCCCGGAGAAAUCCGGAUUAAUACCGCAUAAUCUCUAUGGAGUAAAGGGGCCCUCUUCUUGAAAGGUUUCGCUAUCAGACGAGCCUGCGUAAGAUUAGCUAGUUGGUGAGGUAAAAGCUCACCAAGGCGACGAUCUUUAGCUGGUCUGAGAGGAUGAUCAGCCACACUGGGACUGAGACACGGCCCAGACUCCUACGGGAGGCAGCAGUGGGGAAUAUUGGACAAUGGGGGCAACCCUGAUCCAGCAAUACCGCGCGUGUGAAGAAGGCCUGAGGGUUGUAAAGCACUUUCAAUUGUGAAGAAAAGUUAAUAGUUAAUAACUAUUAGCAUUGACGUAACUUUAGAAGAAGCA
This 494-nucleotide ribosomal RNA is filed under the name uncultured marine bacterium. RNAcentral describes it as "bacterial SSU rRNA". It matches the Rfam family "Bacterial small subunit ribosomal RNA", at positions 8 to 492 of the family's 1533-position model. The record is from RNAcentral.